CCUACGGUGUGCAGCAGUCGAGAAUCAUUCACAAUGGGGGAAACCCUGAUGGUGCGACGCCGCGUGGGGGAAUGAAGGUCUUCGGAUUGUAAACCCCUGUCAUGUGGGAGCAAAUUAAAAAGAUAGUACCACAAGAGGAAGAGACGGCUAACUCUGUGCCAGCAGCCGCGGUAAUACAGAGGUCUCAAGCGUUGUUCGGAAUCACUGGGCGUAAGGCGUGCGUAGGCUGUUUCGUAAGUCGUGUGUGAAAGGCGCGGGCUCAACCCGCGGACGGCACAUGAUACUGCGAGACUAGAGUAAUGGAGGGGGAACCGGAAUUCUCGGUGUAGCAGGGAAAUGCGUAGAUAUCGAGAGGAACACUCGUGGCGAAGGCGGGUUCCUGGACAUUAACUGACGCUGAGGCAUGAAGGCCAGGGUAGCAAACAGGAUUAGAUACCCGAGUAGUC
This 446-nucleotide ribosomal RNA is filed under the name uncultured bacterium. Its description in RNAcentral is "partial 16S ribosomal RNA". It matches the Rfam family "Bacterial small subunit ribosomal RNA", at positions 338 to 795 of the family's 1533-position model. The record is from RNAcentral.